Molecule: long non-coding RNA, 1082 nt
Filed under: Monodelphis domestica (gray short-tailed opossum)
Lineage: Eukaryota; Metazoa; Chordata; Mammalia; Didelphimorphia; Didelphidae
Description: lncRNA (ENSMODG00000036272.2)
Source: RNAcentral
CCAACCCCAAAAUUACUACAUGUCCUCCUUGAAUAUGUUUUGUUUAUUUAAAUUUAAGGAACCAUUUCUAGCCCCAAAGAGAGCUUGGGCUACUGCAUCUAUUCUGUUCUCUAAUCCUGGGGUUUGGACCCAAGUCAUUCCUGGGAAUGCCUAUCUCUAAGAAGCAGGAAUGGGCACCCUGUACCUGUACCUUACUCUUCUAGGGACCAGUCUGCUCAUAAGUGCCCUGUUUCUCCUUUCAAUAAGAAGAAAUAUGCAAUAAAGUCGAUCAUACUACAUUGUUAGACUCAGUGUGUUCUACAGGAGUACCAGCAUUUGAAUUUUAAUAGAGGACCCUCGGGGAGAGGGCUAAGCUUAAGCCAAAGGAAUGAAUCAAUCAAGAUCUGUCUCAAAGGGACUUCACAGGAUGCACCUCCUACUGAAUGGAAUCCAGUACAGUAAUUGGUACCUGGCAAGGACUGAGCAAAUACUGAUGGAUCAAUUAGGCACAUGCCUAGUUAGGCCGGGUCUCUUUACCAUCAUCUCUGCACUUUGCUCCUCUUCCUCCUUGGAUGUGGUCACAGAAAGGCAGAGGACAAAGAAUACUAUACUGAAAAUCAAGAGACUCACAUUCUAAUUCUGACACUGCCACAAACUUACUGUUUGACAUUGCUCAAGAAAUUUAUCCCCUCUGGACUUUGAGGCUUCACAUCUUAAAUGAAGGGCUGGAUGAUGUAAGCUCUAAAGUCUCUUCUACCUCUACCUUUCUGCUUUGGCAAAUAUAGUUAUGCAGGGCACCUGUCUUCUUCUAGAAUACUCAAAUUCUUGAUGACUUUGCUUUCUCCAUUCAGAGACACGCAGGCUAAAAUAUCUGAUUCCCAUCCACCAAUUUUUUGCUAAACAUUGAGAGCAAAGACUACAAACUUUCCUUUUUGAUUCCUCAUACUGCCUCAUUUUUAUUUUAUUUAAAAAUUAAUUACAAUCUUUUCUAGUCUCAGGGCUAAACUGAGCAAAUAGCUGUAUUUCAAUUAACUGAAAACUUGAUACUCCUGCCAAACUCGCCCUGCAAUAAAAUACUUUCUCACCAAGGAGGUGAUAUGGAA